Molecule: non-coding RNA, 3583 nt
Organism: Nothobranchius furzeri (turquoise killifish)
Lineage: Eukaryota; Metazoa; Chordata; Actinopteri; Cyprinodontiformes; Nothobranchiidae
Source: RefSeq, a predicted model, not a curated record
AUAUAUGGUCAGUCUAUGGUGGGACAUUACAGUGAAAUUAUGAGAAUGAGGCUCAAUCUUUAAAAUAAUGAUCUGUAUAUGUUAAGCACUACUGGGGUUCUAAAACCCCCCAAAGCGUUUUACAUCACAAUCAGUCAUUCACACACUGUUGUAGAACCUUGUAGUUUUAGAGUGAUUAGAUCUCUCUAAUGAAUGAUUUUUGAAGCCAAGUAUAGUUAAAGUCCCAAAGUCAUCGUCACACACUGGUGAAGUUACGUCCUGCAUUCGACCCGUCCCCAUGGGGAGCGGUGAGAUGAAGCUGUGGGAACUAUUUGGUCUUCUGUCGGGUUUCAGUCACUACGAGAAUCAGUCAGAGACAGGAGAGGUUUUCAUCGUGUUCACAACCUACCUUUGUUGUAGCGUCAGUCACGCAUCAUCAUUUGACCAAUCACAGUUGGGGAGACAGCCUGCUGCAGACACGACGGCAGCGGCGCUGACAGCACGUAUGACUGCUGUUGCUUCAGCACGUCGCUGUGGUUUAGAGCUUAAAGGCCCAGUGUGUAAAAACAUUCGACUCUUCAGCGCCACGCAGUUCAGAGUAAGUAUUGCAGCUCCGGUAGCCCACACUAGGGUUGGGCUGUUUUUCCGUUCGCCCAUCAUUAGUCCAGUAAAUGACGAUGGGCCGUGGUGUGUGCGUGUGACUGAUUACGGUAUGAUUCACUGACUGAUUUGCGAACACAGAAGAAGUCUAAACAUGGAUGUUUUUAUGGAUGUGCAGCACAAAUUAGAUUUUUCUUUUUGUUUAACUCACUCACUGCCAGCCGUUUCCUGAUCAGAAAAGCUCUUCGCUGCCAGCGUUUUUCAGCGUUUUUACAGUUUUUUUAAAGGAGACAUAACAUGAAAAACCCACUUUUUUAUCCAUUAACACAGUGUGUUUCACAUUUUAAGUGUCUAAGUGAGCAAAAAGGCUUAUAUUAUUCACUGGAGUUGCUAUUUAGAUAUUUAAUAAUUAAGUUUUGGGCAUAUUUGUCCACCCGUUCAGUUUUUCAAAUUAUCUAUUACAUCAGUAAUUUAUUUCGUCAGGAUAACUACCAAAUAUGGUAAUGGCCCUCGGCUAAACACAGAGCCAAUCCGCCAUUUUUUCAUCUCGCUAAGAUUUUUUGUAGUCCUAUUGGAAAAAUGCAGAAUGUCUGGUUAUUUUAGCCACACACAGCUCAAAACUGUUCCUCGUUUUAAGGAAGGGUGGUGUGGCAGUAUUUAAACCCAGGAGCUGAUGACACUACUGCUAAAAAAAGAACAGAAGAAAAAGUAGUGUGUGUGUGUGUGUGUGUGCGUGCACGUGCGUGCGCGCUCGUGGUUCGUUCGUGUCUCCUGUCUAGUAAGUACUGAGGGCUUCAUCUAUCUAAAAGGAGUCAUUUUUAUCUGAAUGUGGCAGCACCGGGACACAGCAGCAGAGCGGUAAGCUUCAUAUCACUCUAAAAUGUCGACAAACUUUACUUUAGGUUUACGGGCAUUAGCAGCACUAAAGCGUUAGCAUCCGGCUUGCUAUCGCUAGCACAGUAUGCUAGUAAAGUUAGCACCCAGAUUAAUGUGGAUUUGGCUGAUUUUCGUGGAAUAAAACGUGAUUUCUGAUCAACGCCUUCUUUUACACCAGAUGAUAACCUCCCACUGAUUGUAACAGCAGAGAGCCUGUGUGUUAUUCUACAUGAUUGUGAUGUAAUCUUAGCAUCCAGUAAAUAAAGUCCCAUAUCAGCUAAAAUGCAGCGUGACAAAGUCAUUAAAGUGCGUCAACACAGUGGAUUUAAUAGAGUUUUAAAGAACAAUCUCUGAGUGGAGUGAGGUUAGUUUUUUGUCUCACUGCAGAUAUAAAAACGAACUCUGCAUCAGUCAGACGCAGCAAAGCUCACCGUCUGUAUGAGCGUGAGCGUCGGAAAGCUGAUAAAAUCGGCUGUAAAAUAAUUAAAACAAAAGUAAAAAUGUUCCUUUGCUUUUUAGAGUCCACAUCCAGAAGACUGGAGUCGUGUUUCACUGACAGGCUGUCAGACUAAAGCCCUGAUGAGCUCAGCUGGGACAAACUGGUCUGAUGUUUAGGAACACAGAACGCUCAGAUGUUGGAGCUUAACCACCUACCAGUGUUGCCAGAUCCAAAAUCCCACAAUAUCGUACAGAGAGGCCUAAAUGAUCGUUUUUCAGUACAAAUUAUCGUACAUUAUAAAUUUAAUAAUAACGUUCUAUAAACGACUUCUCACUCCAAUAUAAUAUAACAAAGAAGGUGUUUUAUAUUGCCCUGUUUAAAUAAACAUCUUUAAAACCAGUAAUAUAAUGCCUAUAAAUGUGCACAGUGUGUCGGCACCACUCCGACCUCCACGCAUUGACACAAUAUGCACAUUUGCGCAGUCUUAUUUAUGUCAUUUCUACAUAGGUUAAAAGCACGCGACAAAACAUCACACCAGUGGAAAAACUGACCCAAUAAAUGACAAAGCAGCCUACUCACCUAGUUCCAGAGUCAGUUUUUGUAAUAGACACAAUAGCAUAAACCUGUAAGCACUGAGGUGAAAUCUGACUUCAGAACAGUUUAAAAUUAUGUAAUGGACUUGGGAAAGCCACAGCGAAAGACGGUGUUACUAGAUGCAAUGUGAAAUUAUCGUACAUUUGAGGAUUUUUGAAACUAUUGAUCGUACAUCGUACAGAGCCCAAAAUUAUGGUACAAAUACGAUAAUUAUCGUACAUCUGGCAACACUGCCACCUACUGAGGAAGGAGACCCACCAGUAAAGAGACGGUCUGGACCAGACCAAAAAUAUGGCGAUGACAUCAUGGAACUGGUCUUUGGAAAAGUUUUCCCUGAACCAACUCCGUUUCUAGAUGAGGUAGAGAAGAUCUGCAUCUCACCAACUCUCUGGUCUCAGUAUUCAGACAACGGAGGUCUCCCACUGUUAUCCAGGACCAGUUUGAAGCCCACAUACUGCCCCUCCCUCAUCAUCAGGAAACAUCAAUCCGUAUCCUGAGGACAACAGAAGACGGCAGGAGGACAGGAACUCUGAGACCUAGACACCACCAGCACCGAGACACAAAGCACCUGUGUUCACAACGCCUGUUUAACUACUAAAGCCUGUUUAUUAUAUAGUUCUACUUAUUUGCUGUGAGGUUAAUACUUAGAAAAUUUGUAUUUUAAUGUAAACAAUAAAAAAAUCACUGAUUGUAUGUUUUCUUUUAGAUGUAAUGGUCCAAACUCAGCCUUGUAGACAUUUAUUGCAUCCUGUAGGUAAAUACACAGAACAGGCUCAGGUCCAGGAUGACCCAGCAUGCUCUUCUUCCAUUCUGGCUGUUAGGGAUUUUAUCAAUAACUCAAUGCCUACUGAUGUUUCCACCUAACGGUAUUUAUUUAGAAUGCAGGUCAGAUUUAACUAUAUUUGUUAGCAAAGCAGACUGAUCUUGGGAAUUUCACUGCAGCACUGAUGUUCACCUCUCUGUACACAUUAGAGAGAAUUACCACUUUACAGCUAAACACAUUUAAUAAAGAUAUAGGCUACGCAUUGCAGACAAUAAAAACAAAGUUCUAAGCAUUAGAAUUAUAAUGAUCACAUUAAAGAACAUUUGGAGGAA